UACGUAGGGAGCAAGCGUUGUCCGGAAUCAUUGGGCGUAAAGCGCGCGUAGGUGGCCUCAUAAGUCCGUUGUGAAAGUCAAAGGCUCAACCUUUGAAAGCCGAUGGAUACUGUGAGACUAGAGUACGGAAGAGGCGAGUGGAAUUCCUGGUGUAGCGGUGGAAUGCGCAGAUAUCAGGAGGAACACCAAUAGCGAAGGCAGCUCGCUGGGACGUUACUGACACUGAGACGCGAAAGCGUGGGGAGCAAACAGG
This 253-nucleotide ribosomal RNA is filed under the name uncultured bacterium. RNAcentral's name for it is "partial 16S ribosomal RNA". It matches the Rfam family "Bacterial small subunit ribosomal RNA", at positions 524 to 776 of the family's 1533-position model. The record is from RNAcentral.